UCUACUUAGGCAGAAUGAUACUUCUUUCAAU
This 31-nucleotide non-coding RNA is filed under the name Mus musculus (house mouse). The record is from RNAcentral. Lineage: Eukaryota; Metazoa; Chordata; Mammalia; Rodentia; Muridae.